RNAcentral lists this long non-coding RNA (640 nucleotides) under Oryza brachyantha (malo sina). RNAcentral's name for it is "long non-coding RNA (OBRA_LNC001567)". Lineage: Eukaryota; Viridiplantae; Streptophyta; Magnoliopsida; Poales; Poaceae. The record is from RNAcentral.
AAAUAUUCAUGAUUUUCAUUAAGUUGGAGGGUUUUCUAUGAAGGUUUCAUGUAAAGAAUGAUUUGUUCCUUCAUAAUAGUACUCUGAGGUGAUUACUAAGAGAGAUGACAUCUAUGGACAGCAUUGAAUAAUCAUAUCCACUUCACAUUCUUGAGAGCAAUUUGUAACAUUAUUUGAGCUACUGCAACAACAUUCUUCUACAAAAAACUUCUCAAAACUCACUUGGCUAACUAGGUUUACAUCAGAACUUGAACUGAAGACAUCACAAAUUCAUAGUAUCAUGCAAUGGUGACCCUACACCAAAGGUAAAGUGAUCAAUUGCAAUCAUAUAUAUAUACCGGCCUAGCUGCACAUUCCUGACACAUGUUAAUCUAGCAGCUUCUGGGCCAUCAGUUGUGACAGGAGCACCAAGAGACCAUGAUCAUAACAAUAUAUAUUUUUUCAAUGAUAAGGCAAAUCUACCACUUACAAAAUCAAGUGGAAUUUCCAACCAUCCAUGGACUCCUCCAUAACCUAGCCAAACCUUUCUUUCUUCCAAAGUGUGGCCUAUGCUGCUAUGCCAGUGGUAGGAUGCCCCAAAUUUUUCUUGCAAAUCUUGAUAGAAAUUUUGAAUGCAGAGAGCAAGAACAGCAAGUGGAAU